Molecule: unclassified non-coding RNA, 143 nt
Filed under: uncultured Meliniomyces
Lineage: Eukaryota; Fungi; Ascomycota; Leotiomycetes; Helotiales; Helotiaceae
Description: sequence contains ITS2
Source: RNAcentral
CAACCACUCAAGCCUUGGCUUGGUCUUGGGGUUCGCGGUCUCGCGGCCCUUAAAAUCAGUGGCGGUGCCGUCUGGCUCUAAGCGUAGUAAUUCUCUCGCUAUAGAGUCCCGGUGGUUACCUGCCAGAACCCCCCAUUUUUUAC